This 676-nucleotide ribosomal RNA is filed under the name Streptomyces sp. KLBMP 03730. RNAcentral's name for it is "bacterial SSU rRNA". It matches the Rfam family "Bacterial small subunit ribosomal RNA", at positions 56 to 749 of the family's 1533-position model. The record is from RNAcentral. Lineage: Bacteria; Bacillati; Actinomycetota; Actinomycetes; Kitasatosporales; Streptomycetaceae.
UGCAAGUCGACGAUGAACCGCUUCGGUGGUGGAUUAGUGGCGAACGGGUGAGUAACACGUGGGCAAUCUGCCCUUCACUCUGGGACAAGCCCUGGAAACGGGGUCUAAUACCGGAUAACACUCUGUCCCGCAUGGGACGGGGUUGAAAGCUCCGGCGGUGAAGGAUGAGCCCGCGGCCUAUCAGCUUGUUGGUGGGGUAAUGGCCUACCAAGGCGACGACGGGUAGCCGGCCUGAGAGGGCGACCGGCCACACUGGGACUGAGACACGGCCCAGACUCCUACGGGAGGCAGCAGUGGGGAAUAUUGCACAAUGGGCGAAAGCCUGAUGCAGCGACGCCGCGUGAGGGAUGACGGCCUUCGGGUUGUAAACCUCUUUCAGCAGGGAAGAAGCGAAAGUGACGGUACCUGCAGAAGAAGCGCCGGCUAACUACGUGCCAGCAGCCGCGGUAAUACGUAGGGCGCAAGCGUUGUCCGGAAUUAUUGGGCGUAAAGAGCUCGUAGGCGGCUUGUCACGUCGGAUGUGAAAGCCCGGGGCUUAACCCCGGGUCUGCAUUCGAUACGGGCUAGCUAGAGUGUGGUAGGGGAGAUCGGAAUUCCUGGUGUAGCGGUGAAAUGCGCAGAUAUCAGGAGGAACACCGGUGGCGAAGGCGGAUCUCUGGGCCAUUACUGACGCUGA